GAUGUAAAGAACCACACCCGGCCAAUUCCUAGAACACCAGUUGUUUACACAUGUGUAUAAAAGUGGUUGGAAGGAAAGAGUUGUUGUUGAAGAUGGCCUGAACAUACGUGAGGGACACCUCCAACCCGGAGCUCUGUAUCUAUUGAAUUAUUCAAUUGUAUUCAUUAAAUGGCUAAUACUUUUGCAUUGAAGAAAACCUCUCCUGACUCUUAUUGAACACGCAGGGAAAUGGCUAAUGCCAUUAAGAAAUCCCAGCAAUUGGUGACCUCCGACGUGGAGGGGGAGAGAACAUUGAUCUGUCCUGUUGCAUUGACAUCAAGGCAUGCCAAAACAUAAGGUCAUCAGUAUCCAGAACCAGGAGCAGCCUUGACAUGCACUGACAGUGCACCGCUGAUGAACAAGCCAUAUUAUGACAAAUUAACAGCUUUAAUCUCAGAUUUUUUUAAAACAGAUUUCUGUGAAAUGCCUGGAGGGGGCCUAAGAAAAAGUGGUGCCUACAUCUGAAUAGGUGUUGCUGAAGAUUCACCAAACUGGCAGCUGAGGAGUACAGAUGACGGCCAUGAGUAAAAUCAAGGCCGAGAGGGGGAGUGCGUAGCAAAGAACAACAUAAACAAAUGAUUGACCCGCUGCCCUCAUGCCAAGAGGGGACGUCUGACUAAAUAGGGAGUGCAAGCAUGUAUUGGGGUAGGAGCUGAACACGCAGUAAUCUCAAUACAUGGGAGCAACCUGAUAGUAGUGCAGGCCUACGGAUGA
Molecule: non-coding RNA, 753 nt
Organism: Danio rerio (zebrafish)
Lineage: Eukaryota; Metazoa; Chordata; Actinopteri; Cypriniformes; Danionidae
Source: RefSeq, a predicted model, not a curated record